AUUGAACGCUGGCGGCAGGCCUAACACAUGCAAGUCGAACGAGUGGCGGACGGGUGAGUAAUGUCUGGUAAACUGCCCGAUGGAGGGGGAUAACUACUGGAAACGGUAGCUAAUACCGCAUACCAUCGGAUGUACCCAGAUGGGAUUAGCUAGUAGGGGGGGUAAAGGCUCACCUAGGCGACGAUACCUAGCUGGUCUGAGAGGAAGACCAGCCACACGGGGACUGAGACACGGUCCAGACUCCUCCGGGAGGAAGCAGUGGGGAAUAUUGCACAAUGGGCGCAAGCCGGAUGCAGCCAUGCCGCGUGUAUGAAGAAGGCCUUCGGGUUGUAAAGUACUUUCAGCGGGGAGGCGUUACCCGCAGAAGAAGCACCGGCUAACUCCGUGCCAGCAGCCGCGGUAAUUC
RNAcentral lists this ribosomal RNA (406 nucleotides) under uncultured bacterium. Its description in RNAcentral is "partial 16S ribosomal RNA". It matches the Rfam family "Bacterial small subunit ribosomal RNA", at positions 30 to 526 of the family's 1533-position model. The record is from RNAcentral.